UUUCUGGAUGAGAAACUAUCGAU
RNAcentral lists this small nuclear RNA (23 nucleotides) under Arabidopsis thaliana (thale cress). Its description in RNAcentral is "snRNA_13759". The record is from RNAcentral. Lineage: Eukaryota; Viridiplantae; Streptophyta; Magnoliopsida; Brassicales; Brassicaceae.